This 416-nucleotide ribosomal RNA is filed under the name Blastocystis sp. RNAcentral's name for it is "bacterial SSU rRNA". It matches the Rfam family "Eukaryotic small subunit ribosomal RNA", at positions 517 to 940 of the family's 1831-position model. Lineage: Eukaryota; Bigyra; Opalinata; Blastocystidae. The record is from RNAcentral.
AGACAACGUACAAACCUUAUCGAUAAACAAUUGGAGGGCAAGUCUGGUGCCAGCAGCCGCGGUAAUUCCAGCUCCAAUAGCGUAUAUUAACGUUGUUGCAGUUAAAAAGCUCGUAGUUGAAAUGAAGGGUAGUUGUGUAAUGAAUACAUUCGUGUAUUUUGUUAUUCAAGUAUCCUCCUUCUAAAUUCGAUAUAUGAGUAUUAAUUUACUUGUAUAUGGUUUUAGACAUUUACUGUGAGAAAAUUAGAGUGUUCAAAGCAGGCAUUUGCUUGAAUAUAUUAGCAUGGAAUAAUCAUGUAUGAUUUUCAUGAUGUAUUUGAUUGGUUUGGUUGAUGAGAAUAAGAUUAAAAGGGACAGUUGGGGGUAUUCAUAUUCAAUAGUCAGAGGUGAAAUUCUCGGAUUUAUGGAAGAUGAAC